AUCUCGUGAUGAGGGAAUCUACGUAAUAACUCCUUAAAUCUUUCUCAUGCCUCGUAUAAGGACUCGUCAUCUAAUUCUUGAAAAGUGAUGAUCUCAUUCCGCAACU
Gossypium raimondii (Peruvian cotton) is the source of this 106-nucleotide small nucleolar RNA. It matches the Rfam family "Plant small nucleolar RNA R71". Rfam says of the family: R71 is a member of the C/D box family of snoRNAs containing the C (UGAUGA) and D (CUGA) box motifs. Multiple nearly identical copies of this snoRNA have been identified in Arabidopsis, and it is thought to function as a 2'-O-ribose methylation guide for 18S ribosomal RNA. Lineage: Eukaryota; Viridiplantae; Streptophyta; Magnoliopsida; Malvales; Malvaceae. The record is from Rfam.